GCCCCGAGCGCCCCCGCCCCGCGCGUGCGUCCACGUGCCUGCAUCGCGGGCAUCUGCGCGAUCGCCCGCGCGCCUGUAGACCUCGCGUCCUUCCGGUCCCGUCCCUCCUGCACGCUCCCUUCCCUCCUCCGCUGCCCCACCCGCGGGUCUCUUGCCCGCAGGUGGCCGGGUCCCCGCACCCGUCGCAGACUCCCGCCCGGCCCCUCCGCCGCCCGCCGGGCGCCUUCCGUCUGCUCCCGUGCCGCUGAGUCGCCUCGCGCAUCUGGGGCUCCGAGCUGCGCUGAGAAGCGGCGGGUCUUCCCACCUCGGCCCUCGGCCCACGAGAGGCUGUCAUCACCCCUGGAGCAGCGCGUCCCUGUUGCCCGCAUCCUCCCCAGCAUUUGGCGACGUCUGUGCUCUGGACUGCAGCCCUUCUAGAAGAUCAUCAUCUGAGGAGAGUGAGCAGGAGAAAUUCAGGCUCAGUCAAGAAAUAAAUAAACAACACAAAGAAUGACAAAAGUAAACACAACUUUAACGAAGAGAAAUUUAAAGUAAAUACCACACACUGAUACUGAUUUACACGGUACCAAAAAUUGGAAAACAGAGACUAAACAGACUGUUAUCCAGAAAAACACCUUAACCAAAAUUGUCUCAGGAAAAUCUGUUUUAUGGAGCAAACCGUAAUUUGAAAAGAUACAUGUAUCCCAUUGUUCACUGCAGCACUAUUCCCAAAAGCCAAGACAUGGGAGGAACCUAAGUAUUCAUUAGCAAAGGACUGGAGAAGGAAGAUGUGGAGAAGAGGCCACCACUCAGCCACAGAAAAGCAUGAAGAAGUGCCACUGGCAGCAGCGUGGAUGGCUCUGGAGGUUAUCAUGCCAACCAAAGUAGUCAGAGAAAGACAAAUAUCAUAUAGUAUCACUUACACGUAGAAUCUAAAAAAAGAUACAAAUGAAAUUGUUUACAAAACAGAAGUGAACUCACAGACAUGGAGAGUAAACUUACGGUUACCAAUGGGAAAAGAGAGAGAAGGAAUAAAUUGAGAAUUUGGGAUUCACACACACACACACACACACACUACUGUACAUAAAAUAGAUAAACACGGUCCUACUGUAUAGCCCAGGGAACUAUACUCAGUAUCGUGUAUGAACCUAUAAUAGAAAAGACCCUGAAUCUCUUUGCUGUGCUUCUGAAAGUAACACAACAUUGUAAAUCAACUACACUGCAAUUAAAAAAGAAAAUUUUUCUUUUAAAAAACUUAAACCAAUAACAUUUAAAGGAAACACGUUUAUUCUGUCCUUCAAAUGACAAGAGUUGACUUUUUUUUAACACACAACUUCUAACAAAUCAUCAUGACAAACUAUUCCAAGAACAUAGCAAAAUAAAAUUAUGCAACUUAUUUUAUGAGGCAAAUAUAGAUUUCCUCAUAAAACACUAAAUCUACACAAGGAAAAUAAAAAUCUAGAACAAUUUUACCCUUGAACAUAUUUUUUAAGAAAUCCCACCAAAAAAUAGUGACUACAGCAGUAUUUAAAGAAAAUAGAGCAUGAACAGGUGGGAUUUAUCACAGGAAUGCAAUAUUGUCUAUUACUGCAAUUGCUCAUAUUAAUAAGGUAAAUGAAAGAAACAGCAUUAUAUAUGGCACCACAAAUGCAGAAAAAGCAGUCAAAAUCCUUGUGGACACUGAUGACAAUAAUUUUUAUUAGCAAACUAGAUAGGAGGUUUUUUUUUUUUUAACUGUAAAAAUAUCUGUUGAGAUGGGAUUAAGAUUGCAGAACAGAAGACUGGAGCUCAGCUUCUCUCAUAAAAACAACAAAAUUACAACCAAAUGCUGAACAACCUUCAACCAGAUACACUGGAGACUUUCAAAACAGAUAUCCUACUCUAGAAGACAAAGAGGAGGUCACGUCAAGGUGGCAGGAGGGGUGGUUACGUGAUAUAAGCAACCCCAUCCAUAACCGCCGGGUGGGCAGCCCACAGACUGGAGAGUAACUAUGACAGAGACUCACCUACAGGAGUGAGAGUUCUGAGCCCCACAUCAGGCCCCAAUGCCUGGGGACCUGGCACUGGGAGAAAGAGCCCACCAGAGCUUCUGGCAUCGAUGGCCAGUGGGGCUUGUGCGCAGGAGAUCCAGGGGACUGAGGGAAACGGAGACCCCAUUUUUGAAAGGAGCACACAGACCUUCAUGUACACUGGGUCCCAGGGCAAAGCAGAGACUCCCUAGGAAUCUGGGUUGGACCUGACUGCAGUUCUUGGAGAAUCUCCUGGGAAAACAGGGGUGAAUGUGGCUCAUUGUGGGGGAAGGACAUUGGAAGCAAAGCUCUUGGGAAUCUUUAGCAGCAUGCCUUUCUCUGGAGGUGGCCUGUUUUUUGGGAAAAUCUGGCCCCACCCAUUGGUGCUGAGAAGCCCCAGGCCAAACAACAAUCCAGGUGGGAUCACAGCCCUGCCCAUCAGUAAACAGGCUGCCUAAAGACCCCCCAGGCACACAGCCAACCUUUAUUCUCACCCAGAGACAAAGCCCCACCCACCAGAGGGAUAGGAAUCAGCCCCACCUACCAAUGGGUAGGCACCAGUCCCUCCCAUCUGGAAGCCUACAGCAAGCCCCCAUACCAACUUCAGCCACAAGGGGGGCAGACACCAGAAGAAAGAGAGAGUACAACUCUAUAGUCUGCAAAAAGGAGAACACACCAAAAACCUAUAAAAAUGAAAAGGCCAAGAGCUAUAACUCAGGUAAGGGAGAAAGAAAACCCAGAAAAACAGCUAGGUGAUCUGGAGAUUCUCAGCCUCAAGGAAAAAGACUUUAGACUGAUGAUGCUGAAGAUGAUGUAAGACACUGGAAAUAAACUGGAGGCAAAGAUGGGUAACUUACAGGAAACACUGAGCAAAGAGAUAGAAGAUACAAAACUUAAGUAAGGAGAGAUGCAAAAUACAGUAACUGAAAUAAAAAAUUCAUUAGAAGCAGCCAACAGCAGAAUAUAGGAGGCAGAAUGAAUAAGUGAGGUGGAGGACAGACUAGUGGAAAUCACGGAUGCAGAACAGAAAAGAAAAAAA
This 3027-nucleotide long non-coding RNA is filed under the name Sus scrofa (pig). Its description in RNAcentral is "lncRNA (ENSSSCG00025043137.1)". The record is from RNAcentral. Lineage: Eukaryota; Metazoa; Chordata; Mammalia; Artiodactyla; Suidae.